This 557-nucleotide ribosomal RNA is filed under the name uncultured Megasphaera sp. Its description in RNAcentral is "bacterial SSU rRNA". It matches the Rfam family "Bacterial small subunit ribosomal RNA", at positions 505 to 1058 of the family's 1533-position model. The record is from RNAcentral. Lineage: Bacteria; Bacillati; Bacillota; Negativicutes; Veillonellales; Veillonellaceae.
GUGCCAGCAGCCGCGGUAAUACGUAGGUGGCAAGCGUUGUCCGGAAUCAUUGGGCGUAAAGGGCGCGCAGGCGGUUCGGUAAGUCGGUCUUAAAAGUGCGGGGCUUAACCCCGUGAUGGGAUUGAAACUGCCGGACUGGAGUGUCGGAGAGGAAAGCAGAAUUCCUAGUGUAGCGGUGAAAUGCGUAGAUAUUAGGAGGAAUACCAGUGGCGAAAGCGGCUUUCUGGACGACAACUGACGCUGAGGCGCGAAAGCCAGGGGAGCAAACGGGAUUAGAUACCCCCGGUAGUCCUGGCCGUAAACGAUGGAUACUAGGUGUAGGAGGUAUCGACCCCUUCUGUGCCGGAGUUAACGCAAUAAGUAUCCCGCCUGGGGAGUACGGCCGCAAGGUUGAAACUCAAAGGAAUUGACGGGGGCCCGCACAAGCGGUGGAGUAUGUGGUUUAAUUCGACGCAACGCGAAGAACCUUACCAAGCCUUGACAUUGAGUGCCAGGGAUAGAGAUAUCCUGUUCUUCUUCGGAAGACGCGAAAACAGGUGGUGCACGGCUGUCGUCAG